Molecule: transfer RNA, 86 nt
Filed under: Saprospirales bacterium
Lineage: Bacteria; Pseudomonadati; Bacteroidota; Saprospiria; Saprospirales
Description: tRNA-Leu
Rfam family: tRNA
About the family: Transfer RNA (tRNA) molecules are approximately 80 nucleotides in length. Their secondary structure includes four short double-helical elements and three loops (D, anti-codon, and T loops).
Source: RNAcentral
GCCCGGGUGCUGAAAUUGGUAGACAGGCAUGUUUGAGGGACAUGUGUACUUCGUACGUGGGGGUUCGAGUCCCCCUCCGGGCACAA